Molecule: long non-coding RNA, 160 nt
Organism: Chiroxiphia lanceolata (lance-tailed manakin)
Lineage: Eukaryota; Metazoa; Chordata; Aves; Passeriformes; Pipridae
Exons: 3
Source: RefSeq, a predicted model, not a curated record
ACUUCCUUGUGAAGGGAAGAGGAGGGGCAGGCACUGGUCACUUCUCUGUGGUGACCAGUGACAGGAUCUGAGGGAAUGGCCUAAAGUUGUGUCAGAAGGGAGGUUUAGGUUGGAUAUUAGGAAAAGGUUCUUCACCCAGAGAGUGGCUGGAAAACCUACU